UUUAAAUGUAAAUUUUAAAUAAAAUUAGUAUUAGGUAUGUUCUUGAAAUUUAAAGAUUUUGGCGGUAUUUUAGUCUUUUCAGAGGAACCUGUUCUAUAAUCGAUAGUCCACGAUAAAUAUUACUUGUUUUAAUUAGUUUGUAUAUCAUCGUAGUUGAAUAUUUCAUGAGAAUAAAAAUAUUCAAAAUUUAUUAUAAUAAAUUAAAUCAGAUCAAGGUGCAAUUUAUAAACAAGAAGAAAUGGGUUACAAUAAAAUUAUUUAAAUGGAUAAGUUAAUGAAAAAAAUUUUGAAGGUGGAUUUGAAAGUAAUAAGAUUAAUUUAAAUUUUAUGAUUUUGGCUCUAAAAUAUGC
Molecule: ribosomal RNA, 350 nt
Filed under: Hydrochus elongatus
Lineage: Eukaryota; Metazoa; Arthropoda; Insecta; Coleoptera; Hydrochidae
Description: partial 12S ribosomal RNA
Source: RNAcentral